Molecule: non-coding RNA, 648 nt
Organism: Phalacrocorax carbo (great cormorant)
Lineage: Eukaryota; Metazoa; Chordata; Aves; Suliformes; Phalacrocoracidae
Source: RefSeq, a predicted model, not a curated record
UUCACGGCAAACGGAUGAAACUUGUGUCAAUCUCCAAAAUGUUGAUGGCUGACAGGAGUCUCUUUUUGCAUUUUUGCCUUGAUUUCCAGUGCAGAAUGCGAGCCCUAACGGCUCAGGUAACGAGCAGCCUGCUGCAGUUUCCAGAGGUGACUGUUGAGGCAUUUGGGGAAGAUGAGAGAAGCCUAGAUUCUGUGCUGCGUGGGAAGUUUUCCAGAGCCUGAGUGCAAACAGAAGGAAGAGGACAGCCCUGUUGAGCGCUGCCGCCAGAUUUGCAAAGCAUUUCCUGGGAUGCGGGGAGAGAUGGGCUGGCCUGGCUGGCGUGUGGCCCUCAGCUGGAGGUCGUGAGCGCUGUGACGGGAGAGCGGCUCUCUGCACACUGUUUCAGUGGAGUCCGUGAGCAGCCUCCCACCGCCCGUGUGGUAAAGGAGUUUUCCUGGCGGAAGGGAACGGGGCUGCUGGUUGGCUUGGAAGAAGCAGAGGGAAGUGUCCUCUGCCUGUACGAGCCUGGAACGUCAGGAGUGGUUAAAGCAGUUGUUCUGCCAGGAAGGGCAGGUGCUUUUUCAGGGGAGAAACGAAGCUUUUCUGUUGCCAGGUGCUGCACAAUGCCGUUUCGGGAACAGCUUUGGAGCGUCACUGUGUCGGGAGGUG